Molecule: long non-coding RNA, 328 nt
Filed under: Homo sapiens (human)
Lineage: Eukaryota; Metazoa; Chordata; Mammalia; Primates; Hominidae
Description: non-protein coding lnc-AARD-4:1
Source: RNAcentral
AGUAGCUCCAUCAUUCUUAGCUGGAGUCAAGAAAAAGAGCAAAAUUAAGACAGAAACAAAUGAAGAGGGAUCUGCAGACUUGGCUAAUCCAGAUGCUUUUCUUGGUGGUCUGACUACUUCUAACUUUUGCAAUAAUUCCAUGCCCAUAAAUGGUGAUAAUCUGGAAAGCAAGCAACAAAUGUUUUAAGAAAUGAAUUCUGUGUGUGUGAAACAUCCACUGUCUGUGCAGUCCAUUUGUGCUUAUAACAGAGAAACAUCUCUAGGUAGCUUGUUUCUGUUGGCUUAACUCCUCCAGUAAAGAUGGUUGAUGAUUUCCCCAUGCUACCAA